CUGAUAUGAAGAGCUUGCUCGGAUUUGAAGAUGAACAUUGCAAAGAGUGGCGAACGGGUGAGUAACACGUGGGAAACCUACCUCUUAGCGGGGGAUAACACUUGGAAACAAGUGCUAAUACCGCAUAAUACUGAUAACCGCAUGGUUAUCAGUUGAAAGAUGGUUCUGCUAUCACUAAGAGAUGGUCCCGCGGUGUAUUAGCUAGUUGGUAAGGUAAUGGCUUACCAAGGCAAUGAUACAUAGCCGAGUUGAGAGACUGAUCGGCCACAAUGGGACUGAGACACGGCCCAUACUCCUACGGGAGGCAGCAGUAGGGAAUCUUCCACAAUGGACGAAAGUCUGAUGGAGCAACGCCGCGUGUGUGAUGAAGGGUUUCGGCUCGUAAAACACUGUUGUAAGAGAAGAAUGACAUUGAGAGUAACUGUUCAGUGUGUGACGGUAUCUUACCAGAAAGGAACGGCUAAAUACGUGCCAGCAGCCGCGGUAAUACGUAUGUUCCAAGCGUUAUCCGGAUUUAUUGGGCGUAAAGCGAGCGCAGACGGUUGUUUAAGUCUGAAGUGAAAGCCCACAGCUUAACUGUGGAAGUGCUUUGGAAACUGGAUAACUUGAGUGCAGUAGAGGAGAGUGGAACUCCAUGG
Molecule: ribosomal RNA, 638 nt
Filed under: Weissella minor
Lineage: Bacteria; Bacillati; Bacillota; Bacilli; Lactobacillales; Lactobacillaceae
Description: bacterial SSU rRNA
Rfam family: Bacterial small subunit ribosomal RNA
Source: RNAcentral